Molecule: non-coding RNA, 274 nt
Organism: Oryza glumipatula
Lineage: Eukaryota; Viridiplantae; Streptophyta; Magnoliopsida; Poales; Poaceae
Source: Rfam
GAUUUCAACUAAAAAAGUCAUCAACAACAAAGUUGUAUAACUCACCAAGAUCUAUAACUUUUAUGUUUGUCAUUUCUUCAUCUGAUAAAGUGUUAGUAAUAUUGUUCAUAAAAUUUACAUAUCUGUGUUAUAGUUUAUAAACCAGAUGAGAGAUAUGUGAAUUUUAUGAACAAUGUUAUUAUCACUUAGUCAGAUGAAGAAAUGAUCAAAAUAAAAGUUAUAGAUCUUGAUGAGUUAUACAACUUUGUUGUUGAUGACUUUUUCAGUUGAAAUC